RNAcentral lists this ribosomal RNA (485 nucleotides) under uncultured bacterium. RNAcentral describes it as "partial 16S ribosomal RNA". It matches the Rfam family "Bacterial small subunit ribosomal RNA", at positions 28 to 523 of the family's 1533-position model. The record is from RNAcentral.
GACGAACGCUGGCGGCGUGCUUAACACAUGCAAGUCGAACGAUGAACCCGGAGCUUGCUCCGGUGGAUUAGUGGCGAACGGGUGAGUAACACGUGAGUAACCUGCCCUUGACUCUGGGAUAACUGCGGGAAACUGUAGCUAAUACCGGAUACGACCCUCGGCGGCAUCGCCAGGGGGUGGAAAGAUUUUCGGUCAAGAGAUGGACUCGCGGCCUAUCAGCUAGUGGGUGAGGCAACGGCUCACCAAGGCGACGACGGGUAGCCGGCCUGAGAGGGUGACCGGCCACAGGGGGGCGGAGACACGGCCCAGACUCCUACAGGAGGCAGCAGUGGGGAAUAUUGCACAAUGGGCGCAAGCCUGGUGCAGAAACGCCGCGUGAGGGAUGACGGCCUUCGGGUUGGAAACCUCUUUUAGUAGGGAAGAAGCGAAAGUGACGGUACCUGCAGAAAAAGCACCGGCUAACUACGUGCCAGCAGCCGCCGUAA